RNAcentral lists this ribosomal RNA (504 nucleotides) under uncultured bacterium. Its description in RNAcentral is "partial 16S ribosomal RNA". It matches the Rfam family "Bacterial small subunit ribosomal RNA", at positions 30 to 523 of the family's 1533-position model. The record is from RNAcentral.
AUUGAACGCUGGCGGCAGGCUUAACACAUGCAAGUCGAGCGGGGUGAUGGUGCUUGCACUAUCACUUAGCGGCGGACGGGUGAGUAAUGCUUAGGAAUCUGCCUAUUAGUGGGGGACAACUUCGCGAAAGGGAUGCUAAUACCGCAUACGUCCUACGGGAUAAAGCAGGGGAUCACUUGUGACCUUGCGCUAAUAGAUGAGCCCAAGUCGGAUGAGCUAGUUGGUGGGGUAAAGGCCUACCAAGGCGACGAUCUGUAGCGGGUAUGAGAGGAUGAUCCGCCACACUGGGACUGGGACACGGCACAGACUCCUACGGGAGGCAGCAGUGGGGAAUAUUGGACAAUGGGGGGGAACCCUGAUCCAGCCAUGCCGCGUGUGUGAAGAAGGCCUUAUGGUUGUAAAGCACUUUAAGCGAGGAGGAGGCUCUUUUGGUUAAUACCCAAGAUGAGUGGACGUUACUCGCAGAAUAAGCACCGGCUAACUCUGUGCCAGCCGCCGCGGUAA